GGGCCAUUAGCUCAGCUGGUAGAGCAGGUGCCUCUUAAGCACAAGGUCGCAGGUUCGAAUCCUGCAUGGCCCA
This 73-nucleotide transfer RNA is filed under the name Actinomycetes bacterium. Its description in RNAcentral is "Actinobacteria bacterium tRNA-Lys". It matches the Rfam family "tRNA". From Rfam's summary of the family: Transfer RNA (tRNA) molecules are approximately 80 nucleotides in length. Their secondary structure includes four short double-helical elements and three loops (D, anti-codon, and T loops). The record is from RNAcentral. Lineage: Bacteria; Bacillati; Actinomycetota; Actinomycetes.